Molecule: transfer RNA, 68 nt
Filed under: Amorphoscelis hainana
Lineage: Eukaryota; Metazoa; Arthropoda; Insecta; Mantodea; Hymenopodidae
Description: tRNA-Met
Source: RNAcentral
AGAAAAGUAAGCUAAUUUUAAGCUAAUGGGUUCAUACCCCAUCUAUGGAACUAUAUUUCCCUUUUCUA